This is a microRNA precursor of Cyprinus carpio carpio, 91 nucleotides long. Lineage: Eukaryota; Metazoa; Chordata; Actinopteri; Cypriniformes; Cyprinidae. The record is from Ensembl.
GUCUCCUGUGUCCUGUCAGUGGUUUUACCCUAUGGUAGGUUACGUCAUACUGUUCUACCACAGGGUAGAACCACGGACCGGAUGUCUGGAG